AUUGAACGCUGGCGGCAGGCCUAACACAUGCAAGUCGAACGGUAACAGGAAACAGCUUGCUGUUUCGCUGACGAGUGGCGGACGGGUGAGUAAUGUCUGGGAAACUGCCUGAUGGAGGGGGAUAACUACUGGAAACGGUAGCUAAUACCGCAUAACGUCGCAAGACCAAAGAGGGGGACCUUCGGGCCUCUUGCCAUCGGAUGUGCCAGAUGGGAUUAGCUAGUAGGUGGGGUAACGGCUCACCUAGGCGACGAUCCCUAGCUGGUCUGAGAGGAUGACCAGCCACACUGGAACUGAGACACGGUCCAGACUCCUACGGGAGGCAGCAGUGGGGAAUAUUGCACAAUGGGCGCAAGCCUGAUGCAGCCAUGCCGCGUGUAUGAAGAAGGCCUUCGGGUUGUAAAGUACUUUCAGCGGGGAGGAAGGGAGUAAAGUUAAUACCUUUACUCAUUGACGUUACCCGCAGAAGAAGCACCGGCUAACUCCGUG
This 489-nucleotide ribosomal RNA is filed under the name uncultured bacterium. RNAcentral describes it as "partial 16S ribosomal RNA". It matches the Rfam family "Bacterial small subunit ribosomal RNA", at positions 30 to 507 of the family's 1533-position model. The record is from RNAcentral.